AAGAGCACGAAGAAAAACCAUGAACAUCACAACAAUGACAGCAACAACAGAACUCUACCGAAGUACAGAACACAGAAAGUGGAAUUAUCAGAAAUGGGUUUCUCACUUUCUCUACCUUCUCAAGAAAUCCCUACGAAAAUGGGUUUCUUUACACCUUCACUUAUGAACAAUCUUCGUCUCAAUGCCUUCAAAAGACCUCGCCUUUCCACUCUACUCUGUUCUGCUCUCUCCACCAGCUCUCUCUCUCUCUUUCUCCUAUUUUAUUUCACAGUUUUUGUGGUAAACUUUCUGGGACAUUGUGAUUUUCUUGGUUUCUGUAGCUGCAGAAGUUUUGGGGUUUGUUUGAUUUCAAUUCCUUUGUGUUAUACCCAAUUUCGGAAUAUCUAGAAAUUGCAAAUUGUGAGAAACUUAAUUUUAUGGAAGGCGAUGACUACCCAACCAGGCUUCGAACACUCGUAUUUUUCAAGUGCCACAAUUAGUGACUUUACCCCAAGGGCUUAAAGGAUCUGCCAACACUUGGUGGUAUUGCCGGAGUGGCUUCCCAAUCUAAGUUCUCUUCGCAAACUUAAGAUUUGGGAUUGCCCAAAAUUAUCGUCUUUGCUAGAAGGUUUUCAUUUUCUCUCUCUAAAAGUGAGCUGAACAUGGUGUUAAAGAAUUUACUUGGUCUGUAUUUUCUUUCUUAGAGUGGAUGCGAUGGUAAAAUAUGAAAUUAAAAAAUUAAAACAAAUUAAUCCACACAUAGCUUGCAAUUUGAAGUCAUAUUAUCAAGGAAGUAUGAAAUCUAUAUUUUUGUGAAAUUGGCAUUAUUUUGAAUAUAUUUGAUUCUUCUUGUUUCUAAAUAGACAGAUGUUCUUGGGAGAUUGUUAUCUCAAAAAGGGAUGUUCCUUGUGCUUAAAAUUGCAACUGCUUAUCAAUUCAGCAAUAACAUGCAGCACGGAAAGUCUUAGCCUUCUCUUGUAUUGUAAAUAAUUUUAAUAAUAUUGUGGUGUGAAUUAAGGGUUGUAAUGGUUAAUGGAGUGAUGUGUGUUUAUAUUUAUGAUGUCAUUCAUAUUUCAUGUAUUAUCUAAUUUGCACAAUGUUUCAGUAACUUGAGUCAUGUAUUAUUGAUUGUUUGUCUCUGCUUCUUGGUUAUUGGAAUAACUCAAAUGAAACUCUCUGUUGUGCUAUAUCUUUUAAUUAAAUUUUUUUUGAAUAUUGAUCUUUUGUCGUAUGGUGUAAAAUACCUAAUGGUAUUAGAAUAUUUGGUAGGCCGACAAUAUGAAAAGUUGAAUUUGAUGGAAGUGGAAGGCUACCAAGAGGUUUGCUUUAGCCAUUAAUUACUGGUUCCGAAUGUCAAUUUCUUAUGAAAUUUUGGUAUUUUAUACUUUCAGAAUUGUCAUAUCUACUGAGGGGGAUGCAUGGCCUUAAUGCCCUAAGAGGACCGAAGACCGAAGAUUGUUCUAAAUCAAGAUGAAAAUUCUGAGGAGAUAUUGUUUUGUUAGGUUUUCAUGGAAGAUUGUUCUAAGGAAAAGGGAUUCCUUUAGCUAAACAUCUUUCCCUGGUGAGAUGUCUUAAUGUGACGAAAUCCAUGAUGAUGUCAAAGCAACUAAGAGACAUUGAAUUAGCCAUUAAAUUAGCUUAGUGUCUCAUUGUGUGCCCUUUUUUGAAUCUGUCUUUCUUAUAGGUCACACACAUUUUCAUUGCAAUGGUUUAUAGCUCACGACAUGCACCUAUGAUUGUAGGAAACAGACAGCAUAAGUAGAUCUCCAUGCUGUUGAAUUAUCAAAAAAAAAAAAACAGCAUGGAGAUCUACUUAUGCUCUCUGUCAGUGAUGGAUGGUCUUGAUCAUGAUUUUGACUUAAUGAUUACUAGUUAACCUUGUGAUUAUAGGCACAAAUAUGUAAGGUUAUACCAAGUUCUUGGCAUGUUAGGAUUGCCUUCUUGUUUCUUUUGGGUAUGAAUUAUCGGAGAUUAUUCAUUGAAGAAAUAUCAUUUUUUACUGGGUUUACUUGAA
This is a long non-coding RNA of Quercus robur (English oak), 1993 nucleotides long. RefSeq lists it as uncharacterized. Lineage: Eukaryota; Viridiplantae; Streptophyta; Magnoliopsida; Fagales; Fagaceae. The transcript is spliced from 3 exons. The record is from RefSeq and is a predicted model, not a curated record.